AGUGAACGCUGGCGGUAGGCCUAACACAUGCAAGUCGAACGGCAGCACAGUAAGAGCUUGCUCUUACGGGUGGCGAGUGGCGGACGGGUGAGGAAUACAUCGGAAUCUACUUUUUCGUGGGGGAUAACGUAGGGAAACUUACGCUAAUACCGCAUACGACCUACGGGUGAAAGCAGGGGAUCUUCGGACCUUGCGCGAUUGAAUGAGCCGAUGUCGGAUUAGCUAGUUGGCGGGGUAAAGGCCCACCAAGGCGACGAUCCGUAGCUGGUCUGAUAGGAUGAUCAGCCACACUGGAACGGAGACACGGUCCAGACUCCUACGGGAGGCAGCAGUGGGGAAUAUUGGACAAUGGGCGCAAGCCUGAUCCAGCCAUACCGCGUGGGUGAAGAAGGCCUUCGGGUUGUAAAGCCCUUUUGUUGGGAAAGAAAAGCAGCAGGUUAAUACCCCGCUGUUCUGACGGUACCCAAAGAAUAAGCACCGGCUAACUUCGUG
Molecule: ribosomal RNA, 492 nt
Filed under: uncultured bacterium
Lineage: Bacteria
Description: partial 16S ribosomal RNA
Rfam family: Bacterial small subunit ribosomal RNA
Source: RNAcentral